UGCCGUUACAGGGCAUGUUCACAGGUAGAAGGUCGUGAAAACACGAGUUACGGGUUGCCUGGAACGCAGCAUAACACAGCCCUCUCCAAUUGGUGGAGGAG
Molecule: long non-coding RNA, 101 nt
Organism: Etheostoma spectabile (orangethroat darter)
Lineage: Eukaryota; Metazoa; Chordata; Actinopteri; Perciformes; Percidae
Exons: 3
Source: RefSeq, a predicted model, not a curated record